This 500-nucleotide ribosomal RNA is filed under the name uncultured bacterium. RNAcentral's name for it is "partial 16S ribosomal RNA". It matches the Rfam family "Bacterial small subunit ribosomal RNA", at positions 28 to 523 of the family's 1533-position model. The record is from RNAcentral.
GACGAACGCUGGCGGAAUGCUUUACACAUGCAAGUCGAACGGCAGCACGAACUUCGGUCUGGUGGCGAGUGGCGAACGGGUGAGUAAUGUAUCGGAACGUGCCCAGUCGUGGGGGAUAACGUAGUGAAAAUUACGCUAAUACCGCAUACGAUCUAUGGAUGAAAGCGGGGGAUCGCAAGACCUCGCGCGAUUGGAGCGGCCGAUAUCAGAUUAGGUAGUUGGUGGGGUAAAGGCCCACCAAGCCAACGAUCUGUAGCUGGUCUGAGAGGACGACCAGCCACACUGGAACUGAGACACGGUCCAGACUCCUACGGGAGGCAGCAGUGGGGAAUUUUGGACAAUGGGCGAAAGCCUGAUCCAGCCAUUCCGCGUGCAGGAUGAAGGCCCUCGGGUUGUAAACUGCUUUUGUACAGAACGAAAAGGUUUCUACUAAUACUAGGAGCUCAUGACGGUACUGUAAGAAUAAGCACCGGCUAACUACGUGCCAGCCGCCGCAGUAA